GACGAACGCUGGCGGCGUGCCUAAUACAUGCAAGUCGAGCGAAUGGAUUAAGAGCUUGCUCUUAUGAAGUUAGCGGCGGACGGGUGAGUAACACGUGUGUAACCUGCCCAUAAGACUGGGAUAACUCCGGGAAACCGGGGCUAAUACCGGAUAACAUUUUGAACCGCAUGGUUCGAAAUUGAAAGGCGGCUUCGGCUGUCACUUAUGGAUGGACCCGCGUCGCAUUAGCUAGUUGGUGAGGUAACGGCUCACCAAGGCAACGAUGCGUAGCCGACCUGAGAGGGUGAUCGGCCACACUGGGACUGAGACACGGCCCAGACGCCUACGGGAGGCAGCAGUAGGGAAUCUUCCGCAAUGGACGAAAGUCUGACGGAGCAACGCCGCGUGAGUGAUGAAGGCUUUCGGGUCGUAAAACUCUGUUGUUAGGGAAGAACAAGUGCUAGUUGAAUAAGCUGGCACCUUGACGGUACCUAACCAGAAAGCCACGGCUAACUACGUGCCAGCCGCCGCAGUAA
RNAcentral lists this ribosomal RNA (515 nucleotides) under uncultured bacterium. Its description in RNAcentral is "partial 16S ribosomal RNA". It matches the Rfam family "Bacterial small subunit ribosomal RNA", at positions 28 to 523 of the family's 1533-position model. The record is from RNAcentral.